CAAUGCCGGCAUCAUAGGCAUGCAGUCGACGCGAAAGAGGGGGCAACCCCUCGAGUAGAGUGGCGAACGGGUGAGUAACGCGUGAAGAACCUGCCUUCGAGCGGGGGAUAACACUCCCAACGGGGUGCUAAUACCGCAUGAGACCACGGGGUCGCAUGGCCCUGAGGUCAAAGGUGGCCUCUAUUUAUAAGCUACCGCUCGAAGAUGGCUUCGCGUCCCAUUAGCUAGUUGGCGGUGUAACGGACCACCAAGGCGACGAUGGGUAGCUGGUCUGAGAGGAUGGUCAGCCACACUGGGACUGAGAUACGGCCCAGACUCCUACGGGAGGCAGCAGUCGAGAGGCUUUGGCAAUGGGGGAAACCCUGACCAAGCGACGCCGCGUGGAGGAUGAAGGCCCUUGGGUUGUAAACUCCUUUUGUCGGGGAAGAAGUGCGAUCAGGUGAACAAUCUGGUCGUUUGACGGUACCCGACGAAUAAGCUCCGGCUAACUCCGUGCCAGCAGCCGCGGUAACACGGGGGGAGCAAGCGUUGUUCGGAAUCACUGGGCGUAAAGGGCGUGUAGGCGGAUGGGUAAGUGGAACGUGAAAUCCCUCGGCUCACCCGAGGAUCUGCGUCCCAAACUGCCUGUCUUGAGUACGGGAGAGGAUGAGGGAAUUCCUGGUGUAGCGGUGAAAUGCGUAGAUAUCAGGAGGAACACCGGUGGCGAAGGCGCUCAUCUGGCCCGAUACUGACGCUGAGGCGCGAAAGCUAGGGGAGCAAACGGGAUUAGAUACCCCGGUAGUCCUAGCCGUAAACGGUGAUCACUAGGUGUUGGAGGCAUCGACCCCUCCAGUGCCGCAGCUAACGCAUUAAGUGAUCCGCCUGGGGAGUACGGCCGCAAGGUUGAAACUCAAAGGAAUUGACGG
RNAcentral lists this ribosomal RNA (905 nucleotides) under uncultured Latescibacterota bacterium. RNAcentral's name for it is "bacterial SSU rRNA". It matches the Rfam family "Bacterial small subunit ribosomal RNA", at positions 34 to 916 of the family's 1533-position model. The record is from RNAcentral. Lineage: Bacteria; Pseudomonadati; Candidatus Latescibacterota.